UCUCCACUCAGAUGAUACAAAUACACAGUGAGCACGACAAGCGUUCAAUUAUGCAUGCAGUUGUGUCAUAUCACAAAGGUUCUAGGUACAGGAAUGUUUUCAUGGCUGGCCAAUCGAUCGAUGAUCAUCAUCAGAUCAUCACCAUUUCCAGAAGACGUUGGAUCCGCACUUGUACUUCUCCUUCCCCUCGCACUCGAUCUCGAGAUCAUCUGAGAUGAAUGGGACUUUCUUCUGCUUGGCGAGGUCCUGGCAGCCGGUGAAGUUGUAGGGGAACUGGCAGCUGCCGAACUCGACGGUGUACGCCCUCGCGAAGUUGGCGCCGCUCGUCGCCAGCCUCUUCUUGUCGUUCAGCUCCUUGUUGGCCUUGCUCUUCUCGAGGUACUCGUCGAACACGCCGGCCUUGGCCUGCCCGGCGGCGGUGGCGGCGAACACGGCGGCGAGACCCAGCAGCGCGGCGCGCCUGCCACCGCCCUGCUCCUCCUUGGGCGGCACAGCGACGUGCACGCGCUUCGGCACCGGCGAGGCGGCCGACUGCGGCACCGCCGCGGCGGGCUUGAGGCCGACGACGCUGGUGCUCACUCCGGCCAUGGCUCGAGCUGCGCGUGUGCAAG
RNAcentral lists this unclassified non-coding RNA (611 nucleotides) under Hevea brasiliensis (rubber tree). The record is from RNAcentral. Lineage: Eukaryota; Viridiplantae; Streptophyta; Magnoliopsida; Malpighiales; Euphorbiaceae.